This 461-nucleotide ribosomal RNA is filed under the name uncultured bacterium. RNAcentral describes it as "bacterial SSU rRNA". It matches the Rfam family "Bacterial small subunit ribosomal RNA", at positions 53 to 504 of the family's 1533-position model. The record is from RNAcentral.
CCAUGCANGUCGAGCGGCAGCGGANGUAGCUUGCUACUUUGCCGGCGAGCGGCGGACGGGUGAGUAAUGUCUGGGAAACUGCCUGAUGGAGGGGGAUAACUACUGGAAACGGUAGCUAAUACCGCAUGACCUCGAAAGAGCAAAGUGGGGGAUCUUCGGACCUCACGCCAUCGGAUGUGCCCAGAUGGGAUUAGCUAGUAGGUGAGGUAAUGGCUCACCUAGGCGACGAUCCCUAGCUGGUCUGAGAGGAUGACCAGCCACACUGGAACUGAGACACGGUCCAGACUCCUACGGGAGGCAGCAGUGGGGAAUAUUGCACAAUGGGCGCAAGCCUGAUGCAGCCAUGCCGCGUGUGUGAAGAAGGCCUUCGGGUUGUAAAGCACUUUCAGCGAGGAGGAAGGUGGUGAGCUUAAUACGUUCAUCAAUUGACGUUACUCGCAGAAGAAGCACCGGCUAACUCC